This 291-nucleotide unclassified non-coding RNA is filed under the name fungal sp. RNAcentral's name for it is "partial internal transcribed spacer region". The stretch from base 1 to 46 matches the Rfam family "Eukaryotic small subunit ribosomal RNA", at positions 1786 to 1831 of the family's 1831-position model. The record is from RNAcentral. Lineage: Eukaryota; Fungi.
AAGUCGUAACAAGGUCUCCGUAGGUGAACCUGCGGAGGGAUCAUUAAAACGUAUCCACGUAUAAACCUUUGUGAAUCUGUUUUUCUAACCCGAAUCUCAGUGAUGGCGCGCCAGAUCGUAGAAGCAAUCAGGAGUAGCUUUUAUACGAUUAGCUAUCAUCUGUGGGUCUCCUAUUUUUUAUUUUUUAAACCUUAUGUAUCAUUUAUUGUACUAACGAGUUUAACGCUAACGCGUUCUACUUGAAAUUAAAAAAUUAACGCACAACUCUUAGCAACGGAUAUCUAGGCUCUC